Molecule: long non-coding RNA, 411 nt
Filed under: Trifolium pratense (red clover)
Lineage: Eukaryota; Viridiplantae; Streptophyta; Magnoliopsida; Fabales; Fabaceae
Description: long non-coding RNA (TPRA_LNC004357)
Source: RNAcentral
AAAAUUAGCACAUAGUUUGCAGCAAUGUAUUAUUAGCCUUUAAUUCCUCCGUAGAAAUGAAACAGAAAAAUUCAAAAUAGUUGUCUAAUAAUCGUUUCAAGACUAAGCAUGAUUCAUAAGAUGGAUUUUAUUCAUGUUGAUAAAUACGCUGAUCAGAUAUUUAGCUUCAUAUGCUGAACCAGAUACACAAGUUAAGGACAUAAAAGCAUGUCUAGAUUACAUACGAUACAAUACACCUGAGAUGAGAAGACUAAAACGCCCUUCUGUAAAAGGGUUGUUAUUUACUCAAUUUUGUUCUCUUUUCUUAAAGGCUUAAAGCUGGUGAUCUGUACCCGUAGCAUAGCGCUCCUCCUCUUUAUAAUAAGUGUUGAAACCAACAAUAUCCUUAAUUUCUUCAAAAGAUGGCAUGCU